ACCUUCGGGCCUCUUGCCAUCGGAUGUGCCCAGAUGGGAUUAGCUAGUAGGUGGGGUAAAGGCUCACCUAGGCGACGAUCCCUAGCUGGUCUGAGAGGAUGACCAGCCACACUGGAACUGAGACACGGUCCAGACUCCUACGGGAGGCAGCAGUGGGGAAUAUUGCACAAUGGGCGCAAGCCUGAUGCAGCCAUGCCGCGUGUAUGAAGAAGGCCUUCGGGUUGUAAAGUACUUUCAGCGGGGAGGAAGGGAGUAAAGUUAAUACCUUUGCUCAUUGACGUUACCCGCAGAAGAAGCACCGGCUAACUCCGUGCCAGCAGCCGCGGUAAUACGGAGGGUGCAAGCGUUAAUCGGAAUUACUGGGCGUAAAGCGCACGCAGGCGGUUUGUUAAGUCAGAUGUGAA
This 404-nucleotide ribosomal RNA is filed under the name Escherichia coli. RNAcentral's name for it is "bacterial SSU rRNA". It matches the Rfam family "Bacterial small subunit ribosomal RNA", at positions 199 to 598 of the family's 1533-position model. The record is from RNAcentral. RNAcentral also lists the same sequence under 2 other names. Lineage: Bacteria; Pseudomonadati; Pseudomonadota; Gammaproteobacteria; Enterobacterales; Enterobacteriaceae.